GCUGUUUUGAACGGCUAAUUACUCAUGACGCGCCGCGUAGGUGACAAAAAACGUUGGCAAGUUGCAGAAGAAUAAUGAACGGCGCGCGGCGUCUAGCGGCAUGACCGGGUCACGGCCAGUGUGCGGCUAGCCGACCACGCUUUGCCGUAUUUUCUUCUCGUUUUCCAGUCUGAAACAAAAUGUCCUCAACUUUCAAGGUCUUGAAUAAUUCUGAGUUUGAGUAAGUCAAUUCUACUGGUAGUCGUUUUCCAUUUUGCUUUGUUUUAACCUGCACCGCUAGUAACUGUACGUUUCUUCUGAGUUCGCAACCAGCAUCCUAGCGCUUCCUUGCAUUUGGUUAUUAUACCCCGUAUUUGACUUGGUAUACAUGAGUAUACAUGACGAAAGUAAAUCUUCAGUUUUGUCAUUUCUCCUUUGCAGAGCUGAUUUUCAGUAUGUAUAUGCGCUAUUAAACGUCACCGAGACGCAACUUUUUUAUUAUCUAUGUUUCUGUUUCUUUGCACUCUCAUCCACUAUGGAACAAGUGAUAUGCAAAAAGUUCAAAAAGUUUACGGAGUCUAGAGAAAAUGGACCGUCGCAACCAAUUAAUCCUUUUAUAGAAUCAAUAUGUCAAAAAGGUGACUCUGUAGGGAAGUGAAAAUUCGCAUGCGUUUCAGAUGGCUCCAAACCAUGAUCUCAAACCAUCUCUCAACUGGUCCAAAGUGCAUUGGCUG
This 713-nucleotide long non-coding RNA is filed under the name Brachypodium distachyon (stiff brome). RNAcentral describes it as "long non-coding RNA (BDIS_LNC004269)". Lineage: Eukaryota; Viridiplantae; Streptophyta; Magnoliopsida; Poales; Poaceae. The record is from RNAcentral.